CCCUUAGAUGUCCGGGGCUGCACGCGCGCUACACUGAAGGAAUCAGCGUGCUAAAACCAUUGUCGAAAGGCAUUGGUAAACCCAUUAAAAUCCUACGUGAUUGGGAUCGGGAAUUGCAAUUAUUUCCCUUGAACGAGGAAUUCCCAGUAAGUGUGGGUCAUAAGCUCGCGUUGAUUACGUCCCUGCCCUUUGUACACACCGCCCGUCGCUGCCCGGGACUGAGCCGUUUCGAGAAAAGCGGGGACUGCUGCUGUCGGGGCUUUCGGUCCUUGGCUUCGGUGGAAACCGCUUUAAUCGCAGUGGCUUGAACCGGGCAAAAGUCGUAACA
RNAcentral lists this ribosomal RNA (328 nucleotides) under uncultured eukaryote. RNAcentral's name for it is "partial 18S ribosomal RNA". It matches the Rfam family "Eukaryotic small subunit ribosomal RNA", at positions 1470 to 1796 of the family's 1831-position model. The record is from RNAcentral.